This 535-nucleotide ribosomal RNA is filed under the name Fusarium sp. f81. Its description in RNAcentral is "eukaryotic LSU rRNA". It matches the Rfam family "Eukaryotic large subunit ribosomal RNA", at positions 50 to 596 of the family's 3401-position model. The record is from RNAcentral. Lineage: Eukaryota; Fungi; Ascomycota; Sordariomycetes; Hypocreales; Nectriaceae.
GCGGAGGAAAAGAAACCAACAGGGAUUGCCCUAGUAACGGCGAGUGAAGCGGCAACAGCUCAAAUUUGAAAUCUGGCUUUCGGGCCCGAGUUGUAAUUUGUAGAGGAUACUUUUGAUGCGGUGCCUUCCGAGUUCCCUGGAACGGGACGCCAUAGAGGGUGAGAGCCCCGUCUGGUUGGAUGCCAAAUCUCUGUAAAGUUCCUUCGACGAGUCGAGUAGUUUGGGAAUGCUGCUCUAAAUGGGAGGUAUAUGUCUUCUAAAGCUAAAUAUUGGCCAGAGACCGAUAGCGCACAAGUAGAGUGAUCGAAAGAUGAAAAGCACUUUGAAAAGAGAGUUAAAAAGUACGUGAAAUUGUUGAAAGGGAAGCGUUUAUGACCAGACUUGGACUUGGUUAAUCAUCUGGGGUUCUCCCCAGUGCACUUUUCCAGUUCAGGCCAGCAUCAGUUUUCGCCGGGGGAUAAAGGCAGUGGGAAUGUAGCUCUCUUCGGGGAGUGUUAUAGCCCCAUUGUGUAAUACCCUGGUGGAGACUGAGGUU